AAUGAACGUUGGCGGCAUGGAUUAGGCAUGCAAGUCGAGCGGGCGUAGCAAUACGUCAGCGGCGUAAGGGACAGGAACACGUAGAUUACCUGCCCUCGGGUCUGGGAUAGCCACGGGAAACUGUGGGUAAUACCAGAUGAUAUCUCCGGAUCAAAGGUGUGAUUCCGCCCGAGGAUGGGUCUGUGUCCUAUUAGCUAGUUGGUGAGGUAAUGGCUCACCAAGGCGAUGAUGGGUAGCAGGUGUGAGAGCACGACCUGCGUCAUUGGGACUGAGACACUGUCCAGACACCUACGGGUGGCUGCAGUCGAGAAUUUUUGGCAAUGGGCGAAAGCCUGACCAAGCGAUGCCGCGUGCGGGAUGAAGGCCUUCGGGUUGUAAACCGCUGUCAGUGGGGAGGAAAGCUUUGUGAAGAGCAAGGCUUGACCUAUCCGCAGAGGAAGUGUGGGCUAAGUUCGUGCCAGCCGCCGCAGUAA
Molecule: ribosomal RNA, 473 nt
Filed under: uncultured bacterium
Lineage: Bacteria
Description: partial 16S ribosomal RNA
Rfam family: Bacterial small subunit ribosomal RNA
Source: RNAcentral